CCUACGGGAGGCUGCAGUGGGGAAUAUUGGACAAUGGGGGCAACCCUGAUCCAGCCAUGCCGCGUGUGUGAAGAAGGCCCUCGGGUUGUAAAGCACUUUCAGUGAGGAAGAACGCCUGGUGGUGAAUACCCAUCAGGAAAGACAUCACUCACAGAAGAAGCACCGGCUAACUCCGUGCCAGCAGCCGCGGUAAUACGGAGGGUGCGAGCGUUAAUCGGAAUUACUGGGCGUAAAGCGCGCGUAGGUGGCUUGAUAAGCCGGUUGUGAAAGCCCCGGGCUCAACCUGGGAACGGCAUCCGGAACUGUCAAGCUAGAGUGCAGGAGAGGAAGGUAGAAUUCCCGGUGUAGCGGUGAAAUGCGUAGAGAUCGGGAGGAAUACCAGUGGCGAAGGCGGCCUUCUGGACUGACACUGACACUGAGGUGCGAAAGCGUGGGUAGCAAACAGGAUUAGAUACCCUGGUAGUC
Molecule: ribosomal RNA, 465 nt
Filed under: Vreelandella stevensii
Lineage: Bacteria; Pseudomonadati; Pseudomonadota; Gammaproteobacteria; Oceanospirillales; Halomonadaceae
Description: partial 16S ribosomal RNA
Rfam family: Bacterial small subunit ribosomal RNA
Source: RNAcentral